AGAGUUUGAUCCUGGCUCAGAUUGAACGCUGGCGGCAGGCCUAACACAUGCAAGUCGAACGGUAACAGGCGAGUGCUUGCACUUGCGCUGACGAGUGGCGGACGGGUGAGUAACGCGUAGGAAUCUACCUGGUAGUGGGGGAUAGCCCGGGGAAACUCGGAUUAAUACCGCAUACGCCCUACGGGGGAAAGCAGGGGCUCUUCGGACCUUGCGCUAUUGGAUGAGCCUGCGUUAGAUUAGCUAGUUGGUGGGGUAAAGGCCUACCAAGGCGACGAUCUAUAGCUGGUCUGAGAGGAUGAUCAGCCACACUGGGACUGAGACACGGCCCAGACUCCUACGGGAGGCAGCAGUGGGGAAUAUUGCGCAAUGGGCGAAAGCCUGACGCAGCCAUGCCGCGUGUGUGAAGAAGGCUCUAGGGUCGUAAAGCACUUUAAGUGGGGAGGAAGGCUACUUAGUUAAUACCUGAGUAGAUUGACGUUACCCACAGAAUAAGCACCGGCUAACUCCGUGCCAGCAGCCGCGGUAAUACGGAGGGUGCGAGCGUUAAUCGGAAUUACUGGGCGUAAAGCGCGCGUAGGCGGUUUUGUAAGCUGGGUGUGAAAGCCCCGGGCUCAACCUGGGAACUGCAUUCAGAACUGCAAGGCUAGAGUACAGUAGAGGGUGGUAGAAUUUCCUGUGUAGCGGUGAAAUGCGUAGAUAUAGGAAGGAAUACCAGUGGCGAAGGCGGCCACCUGGACUGAUACUGACGCUGAGGUGCGAAAGCGUGGGUAGCGAACAGGAUUAGAUACCCUGGUAGUCCACGCUGUAAACGAUGUCAACUAGCCGUAGGGAUCCUUGAGAUUUUUGUGGCGCAGCUAACGCACUAAGUUGACCGCCUGGGGAGUACGGCCGCAAGGUUAAAACUCAAAUGAAUUGACGGGGGCCCGCACAAGCGGUGGAGCAUGUGGUUUAAUUCGAUGCAACGCGAAGAACCUUACCUGGUCUUGACAUCCUCGGAAGC
This 1000-nucleotide ribosomal RNA is filed under the name uncultured bacterium. Its description in RNAcentral is "bacterial SSU rRNA". It matches the Rfam family "Bacterial small subunit ribosomal RNA", at positions 8 to 997 of the family's 1533-position model. The record is from RNAcentral.